GACGAACGCUGGCGGCGUGCUUAACACAUGCAAGUCGAACGGAAAGGCCCCUUUGGGGGUACUCGAGUGGCGAACGGGUGAGUAACACGUGAGUAACCUGCCCUUGACUUCGGGAUAACUUCAGGAAACUGGGGCUAAUACCGGAUAGGAAUCCUUGCUGCAUGGUGGGGGUUGGAAAGCUUCGGCGGUUUUGGAUGGACUCGCGGCUUAUCAGCUUGUUGGUGGGGUAGUGGCUUACCAAGGCUUUGACGGGUAGCCGGCCUGAUAGGGCGACCGGCCACAUUGGGACUGAGAUACGGCCCAGACUCCUACGGGAGGCAGCAGUGGGGAAUAUUGCACAAUGGGCGGAAGCCUGAUGCAGCAACGCCGCGUGCGGGAUGACGGCCUUCGGGUUGUAAACCGCUUUCAGCAGGGGCGAAGCUUGUGGUGACGGUACCUGCAGAAGAAGCACCGGCUAACUACGUG
Molecule: ribosomal RNA, 465 nt
Filed under: uncultured bacterium
Lineage: Bacteria
Description: partial 16S ribosomal RNA
Rfam family: Bacterial small subunit ribosomal RNA
Source: RNAcentral